UCUAAAGGGCGUUUGGUGAAUGCCUUGGCACAUGGAGGCGAUGAAGGACGUGGCACGCUGCGAUAAGCCCCGGGAAGCUGUGAGCAAGCUUUGAUCCGGGGAUUUCCGAAUGGGGAAACCCACCCUUAGGGGUAUCCUGACCUGAAUACAUAGGGUCAGGAGGCGAACCCGGUGAACUGAAACAUCUCAGUAGCCGGAGGAAAGGACAUCAACCGAGACUCCGUUAGU
Molecule: ribosomal RNA, 228 nt
Filed under: Oxyrrhis marina
Lineage: Eukaryota; Dinophyceae; Oxyrrhinales; Oxyrrhinaceae
Description: partial Bacterial large subunit ribosomal RNA
Rfam family: Bacterial large subunit ribosomal RNA
Source: RNAcentral